GACGAACGCUGGCGGCGUGCUUAACACAUGCAAGUCGAACGGAAAGGCCCUGCUUUUGUGGGGUGCUCGAGUGGCGAACGGGUGAGUAACACGUGAGUAACCUGCCCUUGACUUUGGGAUAACUUCAGGAAACUGGGGCUAAUACCGGAUAGGAGCUCCUGCUGCAUGGUGGGGGUUGGAAAGUUUCGGCGGUUGGGGAUGGACUCGCGGCUUAUCAGCUUGUUGGUGGGGUAGUGGCUUACCAAGGCUUUGACGGGUAGCCGGCCUGAGAGGGUGACCGGCCACAUUGGGACUGAGAUACGGCCCAGACUCCUACGGGAGGCAGCAGUGGGGAAUAUUGCACAAUGGGCGGAAGCCUGAUGCAGCAACGCCGCGUGCGGAAUGACGGCCUUCGGGCUGUAAACCGCUUUCGCCUGUGACGAAGCGUGAGUGACGGUAAUGGGUAAAGAAGCACCGGCUAACUACGUG
This 468-nucleotide ribosomal RNA is filed under the name uncultured bacterium. Its description in RNAcentral is "partial 16S ribosomal RNA". It matches the Rfam family "Bacterial small subunit ribosomal RNA", at positions 28 to 507 of the family's 1533-position model. The record is from RNAcentral.